Molecule: ribosomal RNA, 253 nt
Filed under: uncultured bacterium
Lineage: Bacteria
Description: partial 16S ribosomal RNA
Rfam family: Bacterial small subunit ribosomal RNA
Source: RNAcentral
UACGUAGGGUGCAAGCGUUAAUCGGAAUUACUGGGCGUAAAGCGCACGUAGGUGGUUUGUUAAGUCAGCUGUGAAAUCCCCGGGCUCAACCUGGGCACUGCAGUUGAAACUGGCAAGCUAGAGUAGGGUAGAGGGGUGUGGAAUUCCAGGUGUAGCGGUGAAAUGCGUAGAGAUGUGGAGGAACACCGAUGGCGAAGGCAGCCCCCUGGGUUAACACUGACGCUCAGGCACGAAAGCGUGGGGAGCAAACAGG